CAAGUCGAGCGGGAUUUCUUUUGGUAGCAAUACCGAGAGAAAUUCAGCGGCGAACGGGUGCGUAACACGUGGGCAAUUUGCCUUAAAGUGUGGGAUAGCUCGGCGAAAGCCGAAUUAAUACCGCAUGUGGCUACUGGAGACAUCUUCGGGACGCUAAAGGUGGCGCAAGCUACCGCUUUUUGAGAAGCCCGCGGCCUAUCAGCUUGUUGGUGAGGUAACGGCUCACCAAGGCUAUGACGGGUAGCUGGUCUGAGAGGACGACCAGCCACACUGGGACUGAGACACGGCCCAGACACCUACGGGUGGCAGCAGUCGAGAAUUUUUGACAAUGGGGGAAACCCUGAUCGAGCGACGCCGCGUGGAGGAUGAAGGUCUUCGGGUUGUAAACUCCUGUCAUUUGGGAACAAGGCGCGGCUAUUAACUGUAGCCGCGUUGAUAGUACCAGAAGAGGAAGAGACGGCUAACUCUGUGCCAGCAGCCGCGGUAAUACAGAGGUCUCAAGCGUUGUUCGGAUUCAUUGGGCGUAAAGGGUGUGUAGGUGGCGCGCUAAGUCGGGUGUGAAAUUUCGGAGCUUAACUCCGAAACUGCAUUCGAUACUGGCGUGCUUGAGGACUGGAGAGGAGACUGGAAUUUACGGUGUAGCAGUGAAAUGCGUAGAUAUCGUAAGGAAGACCAGUGGCGAAGGCGGGUCUCUGGACAGUUCCUGACACUGAGACACGAAGGCCAGGGGAGCAAACGGGAUUAGAUACCCCGGUAGUCCUGGCAGUAAACGGUGCACGUUUGGUGUGGGAGGAUUCGACCCCUUCUGCGCCGGAGCCAACGCGUUAAACGUGCCGCCUGGGGAGUACGGUC
This 852-nucleotide ribosomal RNA is filed under the name uncultured Verrucomicrobiota bacterium. Its description in RNAcentral is "bacterial SSU rRNA". It matches the Rfam family "Bacterial small subunit ribosomal RNA", at positions 58 to 887 of the family's 1533-position model. Lineage: Bacteria; Pseudomonadati; Verrucomicrobiota. The record is from RNAcentral.